UUCUCCUGGAAACGGGUGGUAAUGCCGGAUGCUCCGACUCCUCGCAUGGGGUGUCGGGAAAGAUUUCAUCGGUAUGGGAUGGGGUCGCGUCCUAUCAGGUAGUCGGCGGGGUAACGGCCCACCGAGCCUACGACGGGUAGCCGGCCUGAGAGGGCGACCGGCCACAUUGGGACUGAGAUACGGCCCAGACUCCUACGGGAGGCAGCAGUGGGGAAUAUUGCACAAUGGGCGCAAGCCUGAUGCAGCGACGCCGCGUGCGGGAUGACGGCCUUCGGGUUGUAAACCGCUUUUGAUCGGGAGCAAGCCUUCGGGUGAGUGUACCUUUCGAAUAAGCACCGGCUAACUACGUGCCAGCAGCCGCGGUAAUACGUAGGGUGCAAGCGUUAUCCGGAAUUAUUGGGCGUAAAGGGCUCGUAGGCGGUUCGUCGCGUCCGGUGUGAAAGUCCAUCGCUUAACGGUGGAUCUGCGCCGGGUACGGGCGGGCUGGAGUGCGGUAGGGGAGACUGGAAUUCCCGGUGUAACGGUGGAAUGUGUAGAUAUCGGAAAAGAAC
This 551-nucleotide ribosomal RNA is filed under the name Bifidobacterium pseudocatenulatum. Its description in RNAcentral is "bacterial SSU rRNA". It matches the Rfam family "Bacterial small subunit ribosomal RNA", at positions 145 to 707 of the family's 1533-position model. Lineage: Bacteria; Bacillati; Actinomycetota; Actinomycetes; Bifidobacteriales; Bifidobacteriaceae. The record is from RNAcentral.